AUUGAACGCUGGCGGCAGGCUUAACACAUGCAAGUCGAGCGGGGAAGGGUAGCUUGCUACCUGACCUAGCGGCGGACGGGUGAGUAAUGCUUAGGAAUCUGCCUAUUAGUGGGGGACGACAUUCCGAAAGGAAUGCUAAUACCGCAUACGCCCUACGGGGGAAAGCAGGGGAUCUUCGGACCUUGCGCUAAUAGAUGAGCGUAAGUCAGAUUAGCUAGUUGGUGGGGUAAAGGCCUACCAAGGCGACGAUCUGUAGCGGGUCUGAGAGGAUGAUCCGCCACACUGGGACUGAGACACGGCCCAGACUCCUACGGGAGGCAGCAGUGGGGAAUAGUGGACAAUGGGCGAAAGCCUGAUCCAGCCAUGCCGCGUGUGUGAAGAAGGCCUUUUGGUUGUAAAGCACUUUAAGCGAGGAGGAGGCUACUUGGAUUAAUACUCUAGGAUAGUGGACGUUACUCGCAGAAUAAGCACCGGCUAACUCUGUGCCAGCCGCCGCCGUAA
RNAcentral lists this ribosomal RNA (501 nucleotides) under uncultured bacterium. RNAcentral describes it as "partial 16S ribosomal RNA". It matches the Rfam family "Bacterial small subunit ribosomal RNA", at positions 30 to 523 of the family's 1533-position model. The record is from RNAcentral.